UACGUAGGGUGCGAGCGUUAAUCGGAAUUACUGGGCGUAAAGCGUGCGCAGGCGGCUUUGCAAGACAGAUGUGAAAUCCCCGGGCUCAACCUGGGAACUGCAUUCGUGACUGCAAGGCUAGAGUACGGCAGAGGGGGAUGGAAUUCCGCGUGUAGCAGUGAAAUGCGUAGAUAUGCGGAGGAACACCAAUGGCGAAGGCAAUCCCCUGGGCCUGUACUGACGCUCAUGCACGAAAGCGUGGGGAGCAAACAGG
RNAcentral lists this ribosomal RNA (253 nucleotides) under uncultured bacterium. RNAcentral's name for it is "partial 16S ribosomal RNA". It matches the Rfam family "Bacterial small subunit ribosomal RNA", at positions 524 to 776 of the family's 1533-position model. The record is from RNAcentral.